GGGUAAAUCACCCGCUCUUUUCUUUACGGAGGCCUUGGGAAGAUUUUAACACCAUAGAUUUUUUUAAAUAACAUCAAAAAUGUGUUACAAAGUAAUAUA
Non-coding RNA from Chelonoidis abingdonii (Abingdon island giant tortoise), 99 nucleotides. NCBI's taxonomy places the organism in Eukaryota, Metazoa, Chordata, Testudines, Testudinidae. The record is from RefSeq and is a predicted model, not a curated record.